UGGAAGAGCUUGCUCUUCCUGAUUAGUGGCGCACGGGUGAGUAUACCAUAGAUAAUGUACCUCUUAGUUCGGGAUAGCCACUGGAAACGGUGAUUAAUACCGGAUACUCCUUCUCAUUAUAAGAUGAGUCGGGAAAGUUUUUUCGCUAAGAGAUCAGUCUAUGUCCUAUCAGCUAGUUGGUGAGGUAAUGGCUCACCAAGGCUAUGACGGGUAUCUGGUUUGAGAGGAUGAUCAGACACACUGGAACUGAGACACGGUCCAGACUCCUACGGGAGGCAGCAGUGAGGAAUAUUGCACAAUGGAGGAAACUCUGAUGCAGCAACGCCGCGUGGAGGAUGACGCAUUUCGGUGUGUAAACUCCUUUUAAGAGGGAAGAUUAUGACGGUACCUCUUGAAUAAGCACCGGCUAACUCCGUGCCAGCAGCCGCGGUAAUACGGAGGGUGCAAGCGUUACUCGGAAUCACUGGGCGUAAAGGGUGCGUAGGCUGACUUUUAAGUCAGGCGUGAAAUCCAAUGGCUUAACCAUUGAACUGCGCUUGAAACUGGGAGUCUAGAGUUCAGAAGGGGCAGAUGGAAUUAGUGGUGUAGGGGUAAAAUCCGUAGAUAUCACUAGGAAUAUCAAAAGCGAAGGCGAUCUGCUGGGAUGAUACUGACGCUGAGGCACGAAAGCGUGGGGGAGCAAACAGGAUUAGAUACCCUGGUAGUCCACGCCCUAAACGAUGAAUGCUAGUCGUCGGGGUACUCGUUACUUCGGUGAUGCACUUAACAGAU
RNAcentral lists this ribosomal RNA (771 nucleotides) under uncultured Campylobacterota bacterium. RNAcentral's name for it is "bacterial SSU rRNA". It matches the Rfam family "Bacterial small subunit ribosomal RNA", at positions 71 to 860 of the family's 1533-position model. The record is from RNAcentral. Lineage: Bacteria; Pseudomonadati; Campylobacterota.